RNAcentral lists this long non-coding RNA (4153 nucleotides) under Sus scrofa (pig). RNAcentral's name for it is "lncRNA (ENSSSCG00065004610.1)". Lineage: Eukaryota; Metazoa; Chordata; Mammalia; Artiodactyla; Suidae. The record is from RNAcentral.
UUUUUUUUUUUUUUUUUUUUUUUUUUGCUUUUUUUUUGGGCCGCUCCCCCGGCAUAUGGGGGUUCCCAGGCUAGGGGUCGAAUUGGAGCUGUAGCCACGGAUUACGCCAGAGUCACAGCAAUGCGGGAUCCCAGCUGUGUCUGCAACCUACACCACAGCUCACGGCAACGCCGGAUCGUUAACGCACUGAGCAAGGGCAGGGAUCGAACCCGCAACCUCAUGGUUCCUAUUUGGAUUCGUUAACCACUGCGCCACGACGGGAACUCCGAAACGUAUGUUUUUCAAAUUAUUUUUCCUUAUUGGUUAUUACAAGAUAUUGAAUAUAAUUCCCUGUGCUAUAUACAGUAGGAUCCUGUUGCUUAUCUGUAUUAUAUAUAGUAGUGUGUAUAUGUUAAUCCCAAACUCCUAAUUUAUCUCUCCCCCUGCCUCCCCUUUGAUAACCAUAAAUUUGUUUUCUAUGUCUGUGAGUCUGUUUCUGCUUUGAAAAUAAAUUCAUUUGUUUCACUUUUUUAGAUUUCACAGAUAAGUGAUAUCAUAUGAUGUUUGUCUUUGUCUGACUUACUUCACUUAGUAUGAUAAUCUCUAGGUCCAUCCAUGUUGUUACAAAUGGCAUUAUUUCAUUUUUUUAUGGCCCAGUAAUAAUCCAGUGUAUAUGUGUACUCAUUUCUUUGUCAACGGACACUUAAGUUGCUUACAUGUCUUGGCUAUUGUAAAUAGUGUUGCUAGAAAUAUUGGGGUGCAUGUAUUUUUUUGUCUUUUUAGGGCCACACCUACAACACAUGGAGGUUCGCAGGCUCGGGGUCAAACCGGAGCUACAGCUGCCAGCCUAUGCCACAGCCACAGCAACGCCAGAUCCAAGCUGGAUCUUCAAACUGCACCACAGCUCUAGGCAAUGCCAGAUCCUUAACCCAUUGAGCGAGGCCAGAGAUCGAACCUGUGUCCUCAUGGAUGCUAGUCAGAUUCGUUUCUACUGAGCCACAAUGGGAACUCCAUUUAUCUUUUUUGAAUUAGAGUUUUCAUUUUUUCCAGACACAUAUAUGCCCAGAAAUGAGAUUGCUGGAUCCUAUGGUAACAGAUUCCAUACAGUUUUUAUUUUUUGUAAAAUUAAUGUAUAGGUAUUGUAAAAAAAAAUCGGAAAUAAUAAACAUCAUAGGAAAUUCUACUCAGGUAGAGAUAAUCAAAAUUAAAACUUGGUGAACUGUUCACUGUUACGUAUAAGUAUAUAUAAUAUUUCUGUGCUUGCUCAAUGUCUAUCUACCUACAAUUAUGUAUGAAUUAAUUAUACUAUUUAUGCUACUCUAAACCUACUUUUAUCAGCCAAUAAUAUGACAUGACAAUGUUUCCAUUGCUAAUAGAUACAAAUUUUCAUCACUUAUUCAAGGAUACAUUGCAUAAAUAUAAUUUAUAUAACCAUAAUUUAUCCAACCAUUCCACUUUUGAUGGACAUUUGUUGCAGUAUUUCAAUACUAUAUGCAAUAUUGCAAUGAGUAUCCUUGUUAAUACAUUAUUAAAUUCUUGAUGUCUGAAGGCUCUUUUCACCAAAUUAAAUAUUUGGGGUAGAAAGAAUCCAUUAGAUUCAGAAAUGGUCACAUCAUUGCAAAACUUCAUGAAAAAAAAUUUAGAAUGAACUGAUGUUAUUCUAAAAUGUAGCUCCUGAUUCUGGUGUCUUGAAGUUGAAUAUAAUAAAAUGUUUUCUUAUAGAGUUUGUGUCAAUUCACAUGGGGCUAAAAUUCAGUGAAUAUGCCAGAUGCCCUUUUAAACUUAUUAUGCUAUUAUCAACCUACAAUACUAUAUUUUUAGAACUCUUAGAAAAUCAUUUGCACAUAAGUUUCCUUAAAAUUAUAACUUGAUAGUUAUACCAGCCAUCAAUGCUGCAGAUAUAAAAUCUGAAUAUUGAGCAUACAGUAUAAUUCCUGCUGCUUGAUUUUCAGUGUCCACCAACUCAGUGUUGACGUUGGUAGGAAGCAAGAGAAAAAUGGAAACUCAUAUUGUGGUUCACUCAGUCAUUUGGACAGCUUAUAAAAACUCUUGCACAGUUUACCAAUCUCCAACAAAUUAUUUCCAUAAGAAAGAAUUUAUUAAGGUCAGUGUCUUCAUAUCUUUCCCUCCCUGUGUAUAAUAUUAGCUUUGCUGUGUAGACAAACGAGAGUUGAGAGUGAGCCUCCCUAGAUGGAUAGCCUUAUGGUCUCUGGAUGAAAUGCACUAUGUACAGGAAGAGUAAGGUGUUAUUGGUAUGUAAAAUAGAAUCCUAAAACUGUGAAGCAAAUUCUAUCCCAGGAACACAAGACACCGAAGAGUAAACAAAUACAAACAAAUAAGCUUUAAAUCAUUCAUUUAAAUCGAAGACUUGAAGGCUUCUUAUUUCCUUCCUCCUUUUGGAGGCGGCCCUUCCUUGUCUACAUUUCUUGAUCUAUGUUGGCCUCUUCAAAGCUUCUACAGUCAUAAAAAACUCAGGAAAACAUUUCACCACUUGACAGACCAUCCUGAACUUGGCUGGCUUCAGGAGCUGUGGGGCACCAUCUGUUUACUAGGAUUCCUUGGGUAUCUUGAGGGCCCUUUUCCACUGCAAGAAUGAUAUUGAGGGCUCUGCAACGAAAGUGCUCACUCCUGGACCACUCCAAACAGCCAGGAUUCUCAAGGACCUUCCAGUUUCCAGGAAUCUCAGUGGGGCCCAUUUUAGACUCUGUUAGCUGUUCUUGGGGAAGGAGAUGAAGACCAAACAAGGAGGCAUCAAAAGUUACCUCUUGUUAGACCCUUAUCUCAGAUUCCUCAGGAAAUAGACUCUGACAUGGAGAUUUCGGUGCAGCAGAUUAAUCUGGGUGUGUUUGGGGGGCCACAUUUGGUGAGGGAGUGAAAACUGCAUAAUUGGAAAGAAGGGGAUGUCAGACUUUGAGGCAGUUGCAGAGGCCUUAGCCUGUCUUUUAGCAAAGCCCCAGAGCUAGGCUGGCUCUUCGGGGUUGUCCCUGAAUUGAAGCAAGGGGACCUGGCCUUUGUACCCUUCCAUCAACCAAUCUCAGGAUGUAGGCUGCUCCCGGGAGGGGGGUGUAACCUGAUGGGAGGCCAUUCUCUAUGGGGAGGGCAACUCCUGGACAAAGUCUUAGCUGUGAGAUACCAGCAGCCACAUCCCCUACCAGCAGGGGCAUGAGUACCUGUGUCCUGGGGGCAAUCUGGCAGUGCACUAAACCAUCUAUUAGACUCUUUCACUCUCAGGAAUUCCCUGAUGUCCUAGAAAGCCAAAUGCUUAUGCAGAGUUCCAGCCUAAAGAGAUGAUCACCACCUUUGGACAUGGGAGGAGCGUGGGAAGGCAGGCAUUGCAGAGGGACCCCCAAGGUAAGGUGACCCUCAAAUGCAGUAGGUUUUAAAAGCCAUCCAUACACUUGUGUUUGCCAAGAGGGAAGGGAAGGGAGUGGGAUGGACUGGGAGUUUGUAGAUGCAAACUAUUGUAUUUGGAGUGGAUAAGCAUUGAGAUCCUGCUCUGUAGCACAGGGAACUAUAUCCAGUGACUUGUGAUGGAACAUGACAGAAAAUAAUGGGAGAAAAAGAAUGUAUACAUAUGUAUAACUGGGUCACUUUGCUGUGCAGCAGAAAUUGACGAAAUAUUGUAAGUCAACUGUAAUAAAAAAAUGUUUAAAGCCUUCCCAGAUUAGGGAACAUUACAGGGUCAUUGAUGAGGGUGUCCUAAAUGAGUAGGAUUUGGCGGGGGGGUGGGGGGAGCACAAAAUGGGAACUUAUGGCAGGGUCUCAUCACAUCAUUUACCCCUGAGGCUUCCUUAAUUUUCCACUCAGGUGUCCUGUCCACAUCCUGAAGCUCACCCCUGAUGUCACUGGCAGUACCCAUAUAUGUCAACAAGCUUCUUGCUUCUUUCUACUUGAAAAUGCUCUCUGGCUCCUGUGAUAUUGAGCAGAUUUGGAAAACCAGGGAGUUAAUACCCCAGGAUAGACCCUCAAACAACGAGGAGUGGAAGUUGAUGGCUAAAUACCCCAGCCACCUACCUCUCAGUGAACCAGUUUUAAAGCAUGUCCUACACAGAGGGUCCCCAGUUGUCUGCAAUGGUGACCCCCUCACUAAUACACCAUCACUGGCUCUCCUUGUUUCCCUGAUUCUCCUGGAGUAAAUAUACUUCCUUGCUAAGGAAAUGCUAUUGCUUUCUCC